AAUUGUAGAAUAUCUAAAAUUAUGUUUUGAAAUAUAAUUAAAUGUUAAUACAACAAUACAACAAAAAACAUUAAUAUAUGUUUUUAUUUUACAGUUUUAAUGCAUUUUGCUAUAGAUAGCUGUGCAUCAAAUCUGACAGGGAUGAAGGAGUGAGCAGGCUUCCAUCCUGCAUCUAAUGCUGUGUGAGCAGCCCACUUGCUACUACCCCCAAAAGAUCAAACAUUCCCUGAAGUGUGGUAGAAGACAGGAAGAAUGACACUUGCUAAUUUGAAUUUCAGAACACACCUAAACCACAUUCUGAUCUCCAGAUAUCAGAUUGAGACACAGUCUGGUCAACCAAAAUUUAGAAGUCUGAAUUCCUCAUAGAGUCAGUGGAAAGGGAUUGUUGAUGUAUUCCUUGACGUGCAAUAACCUGCAUUGGUCACAGAGCUCCACGUGAGGAUUUACCAACUCUGAGCAGAUUGGAAGAAAUAUUUUGCAGAGGUGGCUGGUAUGGUACAGCUGUUGGUGGCUACAAGCAGUGCAAGUUUUGCUCCUCAUCUGAAGCUAAAGGUGAAGAUUUCAAGAAGUGUUUGCUGUUAAAAAAAGAACUUGAAGGAAUGUAAAUGAGACAUGAAAACUGAUAUACUUAAAGGAGAAAUAUUAAAAUAAAAACCAUCAGGUUCAUUCUAUUUACCUUUGGUUCUCUGUAAAAUAAUACUGAAAUAAUACAGAAAAGUACUGCUAAUUUCCUGAAGUUGCUCUUCAGAAACUUAUUUAUUUGGAGAUUUUUUUUUUUUUUAAAUUAUUAUAUAUAUAUAUUUUAUGUAAAGUGAGAAGGACUAAUAAAAAAAAACCUCAACAUGCUAUUGGCAGCAAAUAUAGUAGAUGUGUAAACUUUGAGGCGGCUAUCCAGAUGAACCUGAUUGUUCUUUUGCCUGUUUGUCUAUAGAAAUAUGAAUUUGAUGAUCUCAUUAAAAAAAAAGUGUCUUAUCAAAUUUAUCAUUUCAUAGCUAUGUAUCAUGAAAUUCUCUGUGUAAAAAUUAAAAUAUGUUUGGCUAAAAUCUCAACAAGUAUAGAGUUACUGAGGAUAUCAUAAUUGAAUGAAGAGAAUAGCAUGUAGAGUCAUGGUAUGCUUUGAGCAGCUGUCAUGCUUCACUGUAGAAGUGGCAGUUUUCAACUGUAAGACCUGUAUUUGAAAGAUGUCGCUUUAUAACACAUUUUUUCCCCAAGGGGGACAUUUAAGUACAUUGGGCUAGUUUCAAACACCCCUUCAUUUUCAUCAGGGCUAGUUCUCAAUACUCAUUCAUACCACUGUAACCUCAACAGCUGAAAACGAAUAGUAAAAGAGAUGAUCCUGCAUGUGUGUGCAUAUAAACACAGAAUUUUAAAUGUAUAUGCAAAUGCAAUAUCUAAAUUUUCUCUUAGAAGUAGAAAAAUAUUCCAAAAAUAGUGAUCAAAAUGCAAAAUAUAUGUCAACCACUAUCAUCAUUUAUGAAUCCUUGGAAACUUGUCACCAGUGAUCUACCUUGCUACCUGUUUUUUGUGCUGGGACACUCCUACUCCCUUCUACGUCUCCUUGAUUUUAUAGGUGGAAGGGAAAAAAGAAAGAGAAUUGUAUUUCCAUUGUCAUUCAGUCAUGAUUUCUUGGUGAAGCAUUGGGGAUUAAGAUUACAUAUUACGCAUAUAAAGGAUUAUAUAAAGCGUAAUGCAUUAAAGUGUUUAUUGUGAAACACUAGAGGAGUAUAUUCCUUGAGCUGGGGCUCAGAGUACACUCAACAGUCACAACUUGGAGAAUGCUUUCUGGACUUUACAAAGUAGUGUCUGAAGAGAUGGGUUCUGAAGAAGCAUCAUACUUUGCCCAUAUCUUAAAUAUCUUAAAAUCAAGGACCAACACCUUGACUUCACAAUGGAUAGACAGGGUAUAAAAUAUAUAUUAGAAACAAGAGCACAUUUUAAUCCACAGCAAACGUAGAUCACUAGAGAGAAUAAAUCAUAAUCCAGCCAACUAUGUUUUUCUCCACCUGCUUCUUCUCGAAGCUCAAUUAAGACUCGACAUGUUUUUUCUUCUCCCCAGUUCCCUUUUAUCUGCUCCCCUUCUUGUGUUCCAUGUCUUUCUCCCCAUCCUCUUUAUCUGAUGAGGAUAGUGCUGUAGGAUAAUGAGAUAAUUCCUGGUUGUGUUGGAAUUCCCAGACACCUGGAUGAUAUAUUUUUUCUUCUAUCCUAGACUGGGUCAGAUAUGACCUGAUUACCCAUGGGUAUUUCAGUGGUAUAUGUUCAGGUUAAGUUAGUUCUUCUGGGAUAUAAUACAGUUUCUGUGCAUUGCAAAAUAUGUAAAUGACCAUCUUUAGAUACAAUGAUUUUGGUCUGGAAAUUCAGAUCUAGAUGAAUGGCUAGGAAAUAGCUUGGAUGUAUAAUGAACAGAAGUGUUUUAAGGUUUGUCUUCCAUCUCACCGAAAAUUUUACAGAUGUCUAACUGCUGGCUUUCUGUCCUGGCAUGGAUCCAGUUCUGAUUUGGCACUGACUAACUCUCCAUAUGCAGUGAGUGCUCCAAGUCUAGUGAAUUUUUAAAUACAACUACUCUGCAUACACUGUAUAAAUAAAAUAUUAACCACCCCCAACUCUGCCCCUCCCCCAACAUAAUUCUGCACAAAAUACCAUUCCCAAGGCUGUUUUAGUGAGUCUAAUCUAAAUUAGGUCUCAAACAAAGUAGUUUCUUUUUUUUUUUUUUUUUUUUUGAAUUUUAUGUUGCCAUUAGAAUUGUAUGAUUAUUUCUUAAAACAUUGGAUUAAUUUAGAUUCAAUAAAGCAAUUACAUCCAGCAAAGGGAUUAAGAAUUUAACAGACCUCCAAAAAGGCUAAUUAUAGGGCCAGUAAUUUAGCUGACUGUGAUGAUUCAACUCAGAUUUCUAUUUCUUAAGCUUUUGUGGACUCACUCUUUUCCCUGGUGCUUUAAUAAUAAGCUUGCAUGCAAAUACUUGCUUCUCUGUGACUGAGACCUAUGCAGCUUUGGACCAAAAUUGAUUGCUGAAGUUACAUGACUGAAAUGCCUCAGGAAAAAAAUUGCUAAAAAGAAAAACAUCCAGUAGACAGCUAUGUAAAGUGUGCUGCCUGUCUGUCUCUAAUGCUCCCAGGAUGGAAAAGGUUCUGCAAAUAAGGUCAGUGGAAUUAACACUCAAUUACCCUUAAAUAUCAAAGAGGGUGCCAGGCAUAGUUCUGACAACAUUUGGGGGUCAUAAUUGUGAGCCACCUGCUACAUGAGCUUAUGUCGUUAGAUGUUUUUUCUUCCUUAAAAUAACUGCUCAUCAGCUAAUAUGAGCUCACUCAGUCUUAUUUCAUACUAUUUAAGAGCGUAGAUGGUCAUAUACUGUAUAAAAUCCCUCGUCCUUUUUAUUUCAGAUCCCCCUGCUGAUAUAGACUGUCAUUGCUCCCCCAAAGCUGAUGGAGUACUAAGGAUUUACACCAGCUGAGGUCACACUUGUUAUUGCAAUCAAUCAAUAAACAGAGA
Non-coding RNA from Anas platyrhynchos (mallard), 3486 nucleotides. NCBI's taxonomy places the organism in Eukaryota, Metazoa, Chordata, Aves, Anseriformes, Anatidae. The record is from RefSeq and is a predicted model, not a curated record.